GUCUGAGUUUAGUUUAAGACCAAGGCAUAUUUGUGAACCUGUUGGUGUCAAUGCCUGUCCUCCAUACCAAAUACAUUCUUUCUUGAGAGUUUGGUAUGACUGUUUUAUUUAUGGACAGGAGGUUGUUCGGAUCGAAGCUUCCCUCGUGAGACAGUAAAACUGACCCUUUGAUCGUGAAUCCUUGUCUUAUCAAGUUGGGCGAGGACUGAUUGUAUCAGAUCUGGUAAUGUUUGUGCCUGACCAAAGCCUGUACUGGUUGCAGGUUUUGGUUUUGCUUUAGGGUUGUCUGAUUGUCUCUUGGUCUUAUUAGGAGUACUCAUGAAGUUCCGCUUUGGGGAAGUGGUUUAAUGAAAACAGGGGAAAAUUUGGUUGUGUAUUACUAUUUGGUAGGGUUUUAGAGCAAUCAGUUUUCCAGAAC
This 418-nucleotide long non-coding RNA is filed under the name Phoenix dactylifera (date palm). Its description in RNAcentral is "long non-coding RNA (PDAC_LNC015134)". Lineage: Eukaryota; Viridiplantae; Streptophyta; Magnoliopsida; Arecales; Arecaceae. The record is from RNAcentral.